RNAcentral lists this ribosomal RNA (497 nucleotides) under uncultured bacterium. RNAcentral's name for it is "partial 16S ribosomal RNA". It matches the Rfam family "Bacterial small subunit ribosomal RNA", at positions 28 to 507 of the family's 1533-position model. The record is from RNAcentral.
GAUGAACGCUGGCGGCGUGCCUAAUACAUGCAAGUCGAGCGAACAGAUGAGGAGCUUGCUCCUCUGACGUUAGCGGCGGACGGGUGAGUAACACGUGGAUAACCUACCUAUAAGACUGGGAUAACUACGGGAAACCGGAGCUAAUACCGGAUAAUAUAUUGAACCGCAUGGUUCAAUAGUGAAAGACGGUUUUGCUGUCACUUAUAGAUGGAUCCGCGCCGCAUUAGCUAGUUGGUAAGGUAACGGCUUACCAAGGCAACGAUGCGUAGCCGACCUGAGAGGGUGAUCGGCCCCCCUGGAACUGCGCCACGGUCCAGACUCCUACGGGAGGCAGCAGUAGGGAAUCUUCCGCAAUGGGCGAAAGCCUGACGGAGCACCGCCGCGUGAGUGAUGAAGGUCUUCGGAUCGUAAAACUCUGUUAUUAGGGAAGAACAAAUGUGUAAGUAACUAUGCACGUCUUGGCGGUACCUAAUCAGAAAGCCACGGCUAACUACGUG